This 516-nucleotide long non-coding RNA is filed under the name Populus tremula. RNAcentral describes it as "long non-coding RNA (PTRE_LNC002937)". The record is from RNAcentral. Lineage: Eukaryota; Viridiplantae; Streptophyta; Magnoliopsida; Malpighiales; Salicaceae.
CCGCCGCCGUCGCCGCUGUAUAAGCCGCUUGAGGAGCUGGUUUUGCCGAAGGACCUGCGGUUGCGGAGGGUGCCGUCGAGGUAGGAGCACGAACUGGAGUUGGAGACGGAGCAGGAGUGGAGCCCCCUCUUCCACCACGGCCACGGCCUCCACCACCACCACCGCGCUGAAAUGAAGGUGACGAAGUUGAUGAGUCCUGGUCACGACGAGUUUCUGUAUAAGCCGCAUGAGGAGCUGGUUUUGCCGAAGGACCUGCGUUGCGGAGGGUGCCGUCGAGGUAGGAGCACGAACUGGAGUUGGAGACGGAGCAGGAGUGGAGCCCCCUCUUCCACCACGGCCACGGCCUCCACCACCACCACCCGCUGAAAUGAAGGUGACGGAGUUGAUGAGUCCUGGUCACGACGAGUUUCUGAUCGUCGGCCGCCACCACGGCGAGACAUUGUUGCUUAGCUUCUUAGAGAGAGAUAUGGUGAGGGGGGUAGUGGAGAGUGUCUGUCUUGCACAAAAAGUAACGAG